AAUCACGGUAUACGAUUCUACGAUGAAAGACUAUUCUUUGAAAGGAUCUGGUUUCAGCUCGUUCGCACAUUGAAUUUAGAUCACGAAUUGAUUAAUUAAUAAUUUGCAUUCAUUUCUGAGAAUUGUUUGUGCGAUUAUUAUAAACAACGAUGGAGAUUAUAUCGCUAGUAAUUUCGCUAAAAAUAGGCCGAGAUAGAUCGCUCUGAGAAUUAAUUGCUAGUCGUGUAAGUAGAUGAACAUAAACGUACGCUAUACUGUAUACUAAAAAUGAAACAACGACGAUUCAUAGCACAUCUUUACGUACACAAUUCGAGCGGAAACUUAUAUAUAUGUAUUUGUACAUGGCAGCACGAUAUUUUUAAACGAACGUCAAUAAGCAGUACCUCGUUAAAAUCUCGACGCAAAGAUUGCAACAAUAAUACCUAAUUAUAAAGAAUACUUUUGAUAAUACUUUUUUGUAUUAUCUGUCUACGAUAUUUCCUCCGCCAUUAAGAUUUUAUAACGAGAGAAAAUAAUCGGAAAUAUAAAACGAAGUAUACAUAUAUAGGGUGAUGUGUCUUGAUCCAUUAAUGAAUACAUAUUGGACAAAAUCAUUAAUUCGACAUAUGUAUAUUUUUUAAAUACCCUAUAUAUAUAAGCUUAAUACUCAGAUGUAACGUCUUUUUGCUUCGAGUAUUACAUAGUUUCGAAAAAAUCACUACGCAGUUUUUGUAAUUUCACCAGCUAUUUACAAUGAAAGAUUAUUCCAUACACAUCGUGUCGGACCAUUAGCUGUAAGAUACCGAUAUUUUUACAUCAUGCAAAUAUUUGAACGCAAGUUGAACUGAUGCUACAUCGAAUGAUUGUAUAAAAAAAAAAAAGAAAGAAGAUCAGUAAGUUCCAUUUAAUUACGAUCGAUCGCCUUGUUUCGUGGCAUCUGGAUUAUCCGCAAAACGCGUAACAUUUUAAUUGUUAGAUUACUUUCAUCUUAACAGCGAGUCGGUAAAAAGUAUUUAAAAAAAAAUUCAAAUAUGUAUAUCCGUAUCAAAUGUAAAAUGUCGUCGGAAGUUCAUUGAAAAAUUAGAUAAAAGUAAGUCGAAAUUACAAGUUAUAAAAGUACAAGAUUGAUGCUAUAGAAACUAAUUUCUAUUGCCAGUUGUACAAAAAGGAUUGUGAUUCAUCACAUCUUAAACUCAUCAGUCGCAUAGAAUAUCACAGGAACGUUAGUAGGUGCCAUUGGAUUUAUGUAUAUCGAAUAGAUAGUACAUUGCUCGUGCACGUAUUAAGAAAGUAUAAAGAUGUAUAGAAAAAAAACAGAUCUUAAAGUUAUCCUGUUUCAAUUUAAAAUCCAAAGUCUGUCAGUAUACCCUUGUUACUAAGGCAAUACUUUGCCAGUACAUUGCAUAUUUAAGAAGCUUUCUCAAUGUACUUUAGUGAAUCGUCAAA
RNAcentral lists this unclassified non-coding RNA (1425 nucleotides) under Bombus terrestris (buff-tailed bumblebee). RNAcentral's name for it is "misc RNA ENSBTSG00005037171.1". The record is from RNAcentral. Lineage: Eukaryota; Metazoa; Arthropoda; Insecta; Hymenoptera; Apidae.